RNAcentral lists this non-coding RNA (47 nucleotides) under Schistosoma curassoni. The record is from RNAcentral. Lineage: Eukaryota; Metazoa; Platyhelminthes; Trematoda; Strigeidida; Schistosomatidae.
AUCCAGCUGAUGAGUCUCAAAUAGGACGAAACGCACCUGUCCUCCAU